RNAcentral lists this ribosomal RNA (253 nucleotides) under uncultured bacterium. Its description in RNAcentral is "partial 16S ribosomal RNA". It matches the Rfam family "Bacterial small subunit ribosomal RNA", at positions 524 to 776 of the family's 1533-position model. The record is from RNAcentral.
UACGUAGGGUCCGAGCGUUGUCCGGAGUUACUGGGCGUAAAGCGCGCGCAGUCGGCGGUGCUGGCCCGGCGUGAAAGCCCCCGGCUCAACCGGGGAGAGUCGUCGGGGACCGCACCGCUUGAGGGCGGUAGGGGCUGGUGGAAUGCCUGGUGUAGUGGUGAAAUGCGUAGAGAUCAGGCAGAACACCUGGGGCGAAGGCGGCCAGCUGGGCCGUCCCUGACGCUGAGGCGCGAAGGCGUGGGGAGCGAACGGG